UGACCGUUGGUAGUUACUGGCUAUGGU
This 27-nucleotide non-coding RNA is filed under the name Rattus norvegicus (Norway rat). The record is from RNAcentral. Lineage: Eukaryota; Metazoa; Chordata; Mammalia; Rodentia; Muridae.